AUUGAACGCUGGCGGCAGGCCUAACACAUGCAAGUCGAACGGUAACAGGAAGAAGCUUGCUUCUUUGCUGACGAGUGGCGGACGGGUGAGUAAUGUCUGGGAAACUGCCUGAUGGAGGGGGAUAACUACUGGAAACGGUAGCUAAUACCGCAUAACGUCGCAAGACCAAAGAGGGGGACCUUCGGGCCUCUUGCCAUCGGAUGUGCCCAGAUGGGAUUAGCUAGUAGGUGGGGUAACGGCUCACCUAGGCGACGAUCCCUAGCUGGUCUGAGAGGAUGACCAGCCACACUGGAACUGAGACACGGUCCAGACUCCUACGGGAGGCAGCAGUGGGGAAUAUUGCACAAUGGGAGGAAGCCUGAUGCAGCCAUGCCGCGUGUAUGAAGAAGGCCUUCGGGUUGUAAAGUACUUUCAGCGGGGAGGAAGGGAGUAAAGUUAAUACCUUUGCUCAUUGACGUUACCCGCAGAAGAAGCACCGGCUAACUCCGUG
Molecule: ribosomal RNA, 490 nt
Filed under: uncultured bacterium
Lineage: Bacteria
Description: partial 16S ribosomal RNA
Rfam family: Bacterial small subunit ribosomal RNA
Source: RNAcentral